GGGGCAGUAGCUCAGCUGGGAGAGCGCCGCGUUCGCAAUGCGGAGGCCAGGGGUUCGAUCCCCCUCUGCUCCACCA
RNAcentral lists this transfer RNA (76 nucleotides) under Nitrospinota bacterium. Its description in RNAcentral is "tRNA-Ala". It matches the Rfam family "tRNA". From Rfam's summary of the family: Transfer RNA (tRNA) molecules are approximately 80 nucleotides in length. Their secondary structure includes four short double-helical elements and three loops (D, anti-codon, and T loops). Further hydrogen bonds mediate the characteristic L-shaped molecular structure. tRNAs have two regions of fundamental functional importance: the anti-codon, which is responsible for specific mRNA codon recognition, and the 3' end, to which the tRNAs corresponding amino acid is attached (by aminoacyl-tRNA synthetases). tRNAs cope with the degeneracy of the genetic code in two manners: having more than one tRNA (with a specific anti-codon) for a particular amino acid; and 'wobble' base-pairing, i.e. permitting non-standard base-pairing at the 3rd anti-codon position. The record is from RNAcentral. Lineage: Bacteria; Pseudomonadati; Nitrospinota.